GAAAAUUGCCAGUCGUUUUUCAUCUCUCACGCUAAAAACACUUCCAAAACAGUAUAAAAAAUUUAAAACAAUUUUUCAAGAAUAUAAAAAACAGAAUAAAAAGUUUCCUGUUAAAAUUUAUUGCGAAAAAUUGCUUUACUUUAAGCGAAAAUGGACUGCGCAUACUGCAACCGUAGCACAGAGGGGUGCGCCUCGAUCAAAUGCAGCCUGUGCGCGUCCCAGUUCCACCUGGAGUGCGUGAGUAGCGAGCACCUGGUGCCCAGCAACAACAGCUGGCGGUGCUGCAAGUGCGAUGCGAUGGCGGCGGCUGCGCUCGCGCCCCCGGUCAUUGAUUCAGUUCGUGCAUAGAUCGUAAUUGCCAAGUGUAACAUGGUGUAAUAGUGUAAAUUGACUGUGAUUCUGCCGAAGUUCAUUUUGAAAUAAAUUCAGUGGUUCUUA
Molecule: long non-coding RNA, 438 nt
Organism: Ostrinia nubilalis (European corn borer)
Lineage: Eukaryota; Metazoa; Arthropoda; Insecta; Lepidoptera; Crambidae
Exons: 2
Source: RefSeq, a predicted model, not a curated record